CAGAGGCGCCGCCCGGUGUUGCGCCGAAAUGGCGGCGAAGACGCGUGCGGUGGGGCCAGGCCGCUGGCGAAGUUGUCAAACGCGUCGGUUCGGUUUUAGAAAUGGUCGGCGUGCAAACCGGCUUGAAGCCUCUUUAGUUAAUUAAAACCGGCCGGCAUCAGGUCUUCCCUUCUCGUUGAUUAAUUACGUUGUGAUGGAUCAAGAAAGUCCUAAAAAAUCUUUUCGGAUGGGUCUAGUGGUUAGCGCAUGAGAUGUUAACAUCAUGAGAUCUGAGGACGGAUUGAUGAAAACGUUGGAGGCGAACGUAUUCGCCUUUUGCCACCAAAAAAACCCUAAAAGGUACUAGCUCUGCGUUCACUGAUCUGUUGAUUUGGAUCGGCUGCACAUGAUCUGUUUGAUUGCAGUGGAAAGGAUUCUGUUGAGAUUUGACCAUCUGAAGAAACUGACAGUGAAAGAUAUUUGAGCAACAUACCUAUGAACUUCUUUGA
Long non-coding RNA from Zingiber officinale, 488 nucleotides. RefSeq lists it as uncharacterized. The record is from RefSeq and is a predicted model, not a curated record. The transcript has 3 exons. Lineage: Eukaryota; Viridiplantae; Streptophyta; Magnoliopsida; Zingiberales; Zingiberaceae.